GAUUAACGCUGGCGGCGUGCCUAACACAUGCAAGUCGAGCGGCAGCGGGUUUUACACUGAAUUCUGGAAGCUUCUAGUUGAAAGAGAAGAUUUAUUCAAGAAUUUGGUGUAAAAUGUCGGCGAGCGGCGGACGGCUGAGUAACGCGUGGGAACGUACCCCAAAGUGAGGGAUAACGCAUCGAAAGGUGUGCUAAUACCGCAUAUGGUCUUCGGAUUAAAGCCUUCGGGCGCUUUGGGAACGGCCUGCGUAAGAUUAGAUAGUUGGUGGGGUAAUGGCCUACCAAGUCGACGAUCGUUAACUGGUUUGAGAGGAUGAGCAGUCAGACUGGAACUGAGACACGGUCCAGACUCCUACGGGAGGCAGCAGUGAGGAAUCUUCCACAAUGGGCGAAAGCCUGAUGGAGCAACGCCGCGUGCAGGAUGAAGGCCUUCGGGUUGUAAACUGCUUUUAUAAGUGAGGAUUAUGACAGUAACUUAUGAAUAAGGAUCGGCUAACUACGUG
This 502-nucleotide ribosomal RNA is filed under the name uncultured bacterium. Its description in RNAcentral is "partial 16S ribosomal RNA". It matches the Rfam family "Bacterial small subunit ribosomal RNA", at positions 28 to 507 of the family's 1533-position model. The record is from RNAcentral.